This is a non-coding RNA of Xenopus tropicalis (tropical clawed frog), 46 nucleotides long. The record is from Rfam. NCBI's taxonomy places the organism in Eukaryota, Metazoa, Chordata, Amphibia, Anura, Pipidae.
CCAAAGGCCCUUUUAAGGGCCACUCCAAUGUCUAAAUAGAGCUGUA